Molecule: long non-coding RNA, 473 nt
Filed under: Canis lupus familiaris (dog)
Lineage: Eukaryota; Metazoa; Chordata; Mammalia; Carnivora; Canidae
Description: lncRNA (ENSCAFG00040005354.1)
Source: RNAcentral
GUGAAGAGCUCCAGGAACAUGUCAUGUCAGGAGGUUAAGCUAGUUCAGAGCAUUCCAGCCAGUGAGAAAUUUUUAAGAAUGGAGAAUGGCUAAUAUAUUUCUAGGAACAAUGAUGUCUGUUAUUAAAUUUGGAGGCAUUUCCUUGAUUGACUACUAUUACCUUCUAAUAUUUCUAAACUUUCAGUAGAAAUCUGUUAUCUAAAAUAACCUAAUGUUUGUGGUACUUGGUAGGUAUGGAGGAAGAGGAAAAGAGUCUACACAGACCCAAAAACAAAGAAAGUCUUUCAGGAGCAGGCUGUGAUGAAGCAGUGGGAUUCAGGAUGGAAUGUAAUGUCAGAACACAAGCCCUCCCUGGAAAUCCAAAGGACAAUACCAGUGGUAGAGGUACCACUGUUUUUUCUCCAGAACUGGGAGGUCCCAUAAGAAUGCUGGGGAGAGGCAGAGGGAGAGAGAAAAUCUCAAGCAGACUGUAG